Molecule: unclassified non-coding RNA, 339 nt
Filed under: soil metagenome
Description: partial contains 5.8S ribosomal RNA, internal transcribed spacer 2, and large subunit ribosomal RNA
Rfam family: 5.8S ribosomal RNA (bases 1-120)
Source: RNAcentral
GAUUAAGAACGUAGCGAAAUGCGAUAAGUAAUGUGAAUUGCAGAAUUCAGUGAAUCAUCGAAUCUUUGAACGCACAUUGCGCCCGCCAGUAUUCUGGCGGGCAUGCCUGUCCGAGCGUCAUUUCAACCAUCAAGCCCCCGGGCUUGUGUUGGGGACCUGCGGCUGCCCGCAGGCCCUGAAAACCAGUGGCGGGCUCGCUGUCACACCGAGCGUAGUAGCAAUCACCUCGCUCAGGGCGUGCUGCGGGUUCCGGCCGUUAAACAGCCUUACAAAACCCAAGGUUGACCUCGGAUCAGGUAGGAAGACCCGCUGAACUUAAGCAUAUCAAUAAGCGGAGGA